CAGGCACGGACCCCCAAGAGAACACUGCAUUGACCUGAGGUCAUGGAGAAGCUUCCAAAAUGGAAUGACAGAACUUGGAUUGUGGGUGUGCAGUUUGAAUAGAGCUCUGUCAUCUGUGAGUUGCUGUGGACACACCCUUGCUCCUCAGAUCCUCGUGCAGUUAACCAAGUGAAUCUCAAGAGCACUGAGCCUUUUAAAGCACUUUCAAAGCACUUCCUACUGCUGUCAAAGCUUAGAUCAAACAGGUUUUUAAGAGGUCCUGAGAGCCACAGGAUGAUGUCCCCAUGGGCAGAGAGCACACAUGCAGCUCUGAGGGCAGUGAAGAGCAGCUGCAGGUUGGAUGGCAGCCUGUAACCUUUACAAGUGCCUGGAUUGUUCUGGCUGCAGGUUUGGUGGCUCGUUCAGAGCAGCAGUGAAUGCCCCUGUCAGGCUGGAAGACAGCAAUAUGACACGGGAUGCACAAAUUGUCUGACUUGCUGAGGUCCAGAACUCUUAGUCACAAUCCUGAAUGCCACUCAUGGGUCCAAUCAGACUUAGCAGUUUUCAAAAUUAUUACUGUGGAAAUAAUUUAGUUUUGAGUUGACUGUGGAAUUGACAAAAAAAGAAAAAGAAAAAAAAGAGUGCUUUGGGUUGAUGAGAAACUGAAGUACUGCCCUUUUCUCACACACACAAAAAUUUCUGUGUCAGGCCAAACAAAAUGUUUUUGUUUGUUUGCAGGGCUAUUUCCCUUCUAAUUUUCUAUUUGUUUAUUUGUAAUUAGGUUCAGGUAGAUUUGGUUUCAGUCUAUCAUUUACAAGUGCAAACAAGAAAAACGUCUCCAGCAGACUGGUCAGUCUUGCAAAAUCACUCUGUGUCAAGGAA
Molecule: long non-coding RNA, 861 nt
Organism: Passer domesticus (house sparrow)
Lineage: Eukaryota; Metazoa; Chordata; Aves; Passeriformes; Passeridae
Exons: 3
Source: RefSeq, a predicted model, not a curated record